Molecule: ribosomal RNA, 253 nt
Filed under: uncultured bacterium
Lineage: Bacteria
Description: partial 16S ribosomal RNA
Rfam family: Bacterial small subunit ribosomal RNA
Source: RNAcentral
UACGGAGGGUGCAAGCGUUGUUCGGAAUUAUUGGGCGUAAAGGGCAGGUAGGUGGUCUUGAAAGUCUGCUGUGAAAUCCCCGGGCUUAACUCGGGAAGUGCGGCAGAUACUCCAAGACUAGAGUGCUGGAGGGGUUCGUGGAAUUCCCGGUGUAGCGGUGAAAUGCAUAGAUACCACCCAGAACUCCGAUUGCGAAGGCAGCCUACUGGAGGUCAACCGACGCUCAGGCACGAAAGCGUGGGGAUCAAACAGG